CCUACGGGAGGCAGCAGUAGGGAAUAUUGCUCAAUGGGGGAAACCCUGAAGCAGCAACGCCGCGUGGAGGAUGAAGGUUUUCGGAUUGUAAACUCCUUUUGUGCGGGAGCAAUAAUGGUCACGUGUGGCCAGACGAGAGUACCGUACGAAUAAGCAUCGGCUAACUCCGUGCCAGCAGCCGCGGUAAUACGGGGGAUGCAAGCGUUAUCCGGAUUUAUUGGGUUUAAAGGGUGCGUAGGCUGUGAGGUAAGUCAGCGGUGAAAUGCCCCCGCUCAACGGGGUGAAGUGCCAUUGAUACUGCCUUGCUGGAAUGCGGAUGCCGUGGGAGGAAUGUGUGGUGUAGCGGUGAAAUGCAUAGAUAUCACUCAGAACACCGAUUGCGAAGGCAUCUCACGAAUCCGCGAUUGACGCUGAUGCACGAAAGCGUGGGUAUCAAACAGGAUUAGAUACCCCAGUAGUC
This 460-nucleotide ribosomal RNA is filed under the name uncultured bacterium. RNAcentral's name for it is "partial 16S ribosomal RNA". It matches the Rfam family "Bacterial small subunit ribosomal RNA", at positions 338 to 795 of the family's 1533-position model. The record is from RNAcentral.